GGAAAGGUCUGUGGGCCUCGAACUGAGGCUAUUUGAUUAAAAAAAAGGUUCCAACCAACUCUGCUACAAGAGGACUUGUUUACAUGUCUAGCCUUUUUAAUAUAUAUUACAUAUCUAUAUGAUAAAAUUUUUCGGAGGCCCCCAAAAAUCAGAGGCCUUGUGCGGCCGCACGCAUCACAAUGAUAGCUAAAUUAAAAGCUAUUUAUUUUCCUUAUUCUCCUGCAAAUUUGUCGAUUGUAAUAUAGAGAAAUAAGGGUCUCCCGCAGAGGAUUAAGUAAAACUAAAAGGUUCAACAAAAGUCACAAAACGUGACUGCAGCUCCUAUUGAACAACAGUUGAAAAAUAAAAGUAAAACCUAACCUAGAAUGUUCAGAAAAACACGAAAAUUUACAGAGGUGUACUAGACACACAGAGAGUCUAGCACACAAAAUUUGAGAUAAAUCGGAGUUGCUUUGAUAGGGAAAUAAAAUACAGGAAUAUGACGAACAGAAGAUAAGAAAACUGAAAACUGAUUUCAAAGUAGUUGAAAAUCAGGAUAAUGAGACUAGCUAGGGAGGAAGUAUCCACCCCCGACAAUCACACACAGCACACUUUGUCCAAUUUGUGACCAACUAACUCAAUUGAAGAUGCUCAAAUUGACUCGGUACGCUUGAGCACAAUCUAUUGCUCUUUCUUAGUUUGUACGUUAGGCAGGAAGUGCUCUACACCUAAACUAUUCUCAAACAUUGUAACCUAAAGGUACGUUUAUUAGGUUAAACAAGCAGAGAUCAAUAAGCAUGAAAAGAGUUUGAGCAAUCACUAGGCAUCGCAAUAAACUUAGCGCCUUGCUAAACCUAGGGUUUCGUCUACUCGCUAGUGAAAACUACCGAUUACUUCUGUAGACAAUUUGAGGGAUCCGAUAUUGACCCAGGCAUCAAAUAAUCAAAGUAUUAGAACCCUAGCAUGUAUACUAAGUAGGCCUCCAAAGCACACACACAAAGAAUUCAUCGAUGAACAAUCGGUAAACAAAACCUCAAUCUUAUUAAUUGCAAAAACAAAUUGAAAAUCAAAGCAUGUUAUGAAUCAUGUCUAGGGGCUUCAACAGCCCCCUAGCUACUAUGAGUUUAGUUGCGCAUAAUA
RNAcentral lists this long non-coding RNA (1119 nucleotides) under Fragaria vesca (wild strawberry). Its description in RNAcentral is "long non-coding RNA (FVES_LNC004214)". The record is from RNAcentral. Lineage: Eukaryota; Viridiplantae; Streptophyta; Magnoliopsida; Rosales; Rosaceae.